AGUGAACGCUGGCGGUAGGCCUAACACAUGCAAGUCGAACGGCAGCACAGUAAGAGCUUGCUCUUACGGGUGGCGAGUGGCGGACGGGUGAGGAAUACAUCGGAAUCUACUUUUUCGUGGGGGAUAACGUAGGGAAACUUACGCUAAUACCGCAUACGACCUACGGGUGAAAGCAGGGGAUCUUCGGACCUUGCGCGAUUGAAUGAGCCGAUGUCGGAUUAGCUAGUUGGCGGGGUAAAGGCCCACCAAGGCGACGAUCCGUAGCUGGUCUGAGAGGAUGAUCAGCCACACUGGAACGGAGACCCGGUCCAGACCCCUACGGGAGGCAGCGGUGGGGAAUAUUGGAAAAGGGGCGCAAGCCUGAUCCAGCCAUACCGGGGGGGGGAAGAAGGCUUUCGGGUUGGAAAGCCCUUUUGUUGGGAAAGAAAAGAAGCAGGUUAAUACCCCGCUGUUCUGACGGUACCCAAAAAAAAAGCACCGGCUAACUUCGU
RNAcentral lists this ribosomal RNA (491 nucleotides) under uncultured bacterium. RNAcentral's name for it is "partial 16S ribosomal RNA". It matches the Rfam family "Bacterial small subunit ribosomal RNA", at positions 29 to 506 of the family's 1533-position model. The record is from RNAcentral.